CUCACUAGAAUCAGGUUUAAGCAUUUUUAAACUUUUCAACCACCAAACAAGACUUUUUAAGCAUUCUGGGACAGAUUCUAAAAUUCAUUUAGCAAUCUUUAAACAAUCCUCAGGUUUUCAAUCACAUCACAACAUCACAACCAGUCAAUAUACUCAAGCUUUAUACAAGAGAAAGAGGUUUCUUACAGCCAAGGAACUAGUGUCAUGGCAAGACAGUGAGCUGUUGGUGUCAACUCCAACUUCUCCUUCUCCCAUGGACCUUUCUCUUGCACUCUCCAUGUCAAAGACCACACCUUUCUUCAUGUUGAAUUCGCCACACCAGUACCAGCUGAAAGCUGUCACCUUUCCCAUUGCUUCCAAGGUUCUUUCUUCUUCAUGGGCUUCAUGAGAGAGUGUAGAUCAGCUAGAGACAGCUUUUGGACACCAUGGAUGAGCACACCUUCUUCUUGAAGAGUUGAACAGCCGGCUGGACCAUGGAGCUUCUUCUUGGCUUCAAGCGACAUGGAGGAGAGCUAUGAGCUUCAGCGGAAGCAAGAACCAAGUUCAGAUGAACCUGGCUCUGAUACCAUGUGAUUUUUAAAGAGAUCUCUACUCUGGUUGUAUGUGUGUGUGUAUAAACUCCAAUGGAGAAAGAUGAGAGCUUGUUCUAGGUGAUUUAAGAACAGAGAUUGAUGAGAGUAUUUAAGUGUUUAUGAGACUAAAGAGAAUGAGAUUAAGAGACUGAGAGACUAAGAGAAUAAGUGUUUAGAGAUUAGAGUUUCAGAUUCAAGAACUAGUUUUUCAUUUCCAUGAAGGAGAGGGGAAAUCCCCCUAACUCUCUUAAGAGUUACAAUUUCGUCCAUACAUCUGUUUAUAUAGGCUGUUACAAUCUGAGACAUCAUAAACCUAUAUCUAAUGGCUGUAAAUCACUUAAGAGGAAUGGAUGGUGUAGAUGAUCUGGUCUUGUUGCAAUCUGAGUAGUUGAUGCUGAUUGGUUAAGAGGAGAUGGAGCCUGAUUGGUUUAAUUCAAAAUGGGGAAGGCUGAACUGUGAUUGGCUCUCCUUAGGCUCCUCCUAAUCUGUCCACAGAUCAGUCCAGGUUCAUCGUCGUGGCUCCCCUUGUCUUUACAGCCAAGGCCAGCCUGUCCCAUGACCAAACUAGCCAAUCACACUCCAAUGGCAUCUUCUUGAUUCUCCUUUGAUGCCAUCUGAUCAGAACCUUAUCCACAAGACUGGGACCACUUUUAUAACUCCCAAACCUUGCCCAGACAUUGCACAAGCGUUCCCGGGACGUCAGGUUCGCCCUAUUUUUGCACCAACUCCAAAACUUCUCAAAUGGCCGAGUUAUGCAAAUCUGGGUCGCCUUGGUCCGUACGGAUCCGUACUGUCCGUACACGUCCGUACUGCCUCGCCCUAUCUUUGCACACUCGCCCAUUUAUUCCCAAAUACACUGCUCAUCUCAACACUCCCCCUCAAGCUUAGCUUUGUGAAAGAACUUUAGCUGAUCCUAAGUCAAGCUUGGAACCUUGAAGAACUUCCUCAUUAAAAACCUCACCAAGGAAAACCCUUUGGGACAAAACCUUGAUGAGGGAAAAAGAGUAAAGCCUCCAAGGCCUAGGGAUUGGCCAGUGAGUCUUUGUGCCUUACCAACAAUGUAAGGGACACAAAGACUCUGGAUCAUGGCCCUCAUGUGAUGCAAGAUAGAACCCACUCCUCUUGCUCAUCAUCAACACUUCUUGUACUCUUCUUAAGACAGGUCUUGGUCUCUCCCCCUUUCUCACAACCUUCUUGUUGUGAUCAAGUGCUCGGACUACCAGAUCUUCCUUGAUAGAUACAAGCUGAGUCUUGGCUGCUUCUUCUUCAUGAGUCACCACCAUGUUACUGAAACCUUCAUGACAGGAUGCUUCAAACUAUAGUACCAAUCACCUCACUCUAGAGGCCGCAUUGGUGAUUGCUUCUUCAUCCUUCAUUAUGCUUCAUAACUGAUCUGCUCCUCUUCUUGAAUAACCACCAAAGACUCUAGGAUCAUAGAAGCUUUCUCAACACUCCCCCUCAAGCUUGACCAUGUGGAACAAGUCAAGCUUGGAAGGAUAGCUUCUUGAUCCGCCCAAUCACACCAUUGCAACACCUUCUGAACUCGCCAUCUUCAUGGAGUGCUUGUGGAAGCUUCAGCUACCUCUUCAGCCACCUCACAUUAGAAGCCGCACUGAUAGAGUCUUCAUCUUCUCACAGCCAAGAGUGCUCUGAACACUCUCUUGCCUAGACACGCCACUGCCUAGACCCGGAUGGCUCCUUCUUCUUCAGUUGCUUGCAACGGACCUUCUGAACCGGCUGAUAGCUCACUAAACUCCCCUCCUCAAGCUUGGAUUGGGUAUAAGUCCAAGCUUGCAAGUGAGCUUCAGUGAGACUUCACACCAGUGGCGCAUCACCACUUCUUUCUCAACUCUCCAUUGCACACACAAUGGGCAAAAGUCUCCUACUUUCAACUCGGAUGGAUGGUGAACCAAGAACACAUCUUGUGAACCUGAAACAUCACUCAAACUCCAGCAAAGAUGAGACACAAUAGUAUUGGGAUCAAUCCAUGAUUAAUCAUCAAGUUUGAUUCCCAAUAUCACAAGCAUUGCAACAGAUUAAACAAGUCAUUUUCAAGUUCUAAUCUUUGCAAGCAAACUCUCUAAGCACAAGCAUGAUCAUAACAGAUUCAAUACAAGCUACUUAGGCAAUUUUUUAAGCUUCUUUACUCAGUAAUUUAGACAUAAAUCUAAUGCUUCAAUGUAAGACAGCCACAAGACUAUAUGCAACAGCUUUCAAUCAGAUUCAUUACAUGUAUGCAAGCAGAUUCAAUUAAUCACAACAAGCAUCACUAUGAACUGGAGCUAAGCAUAUUAAUUCAAUCUCAAUCACCAAACAAGUCUCUUUAAGCAUCCUGGGACAGAUUCUAAAUCAUUUUCAUUUAGCAAUCUUUAAACAAUCCUCAGGUUUUCAAUCACAUCACAACAUCACAACCAGUCAAUAACACACUCAAUAUCAAGAAGGGAUAGUAAUAGCUUACAGUCAAGGAACCUGUUUGGUUCCUUGAACCUCCAAUGGCAUUAAGGUCAUGGCUUGUUGGAUCUGAGAGUUACAGGUCGUCACCCAACCUCUCUUCCUUCUACUCAUGACCAUCUUCUUGUUUCUCCAGCUCAAAGACCCCUCCUUUCUUCAUACAUACAGUCACCAUCUUCUAGACAUCUUCUUUCUUGUAACCGGAUGCAACAAACACUUGGACAAGGUGUUUUGGAGUCAGGUUAGCUAGGCCUCUCCAUCUACCUUUGCUUCCAACGUGGCUCUUCAUCAGGACAGGUAUGAGAAAGGUUGAGGAACCAGGAAAAAACGCCAAGCUUCAGUCUUCUUCUCCAUGGAGAAACUGAACAGGAUGGAGCUGUCUUCAUGGCUUGGAUUUGAGCUGAGGUAUGAGUGUGAGAUGUGCGGAAGCUUUAACCAGGUUCUGAUGAACCUGGCUCUGAUACCAUGUGAGUUUUUAUAGAGUACUACUCUGGUUGUGUGUGUGAAUGUGUAUAAGCUCCAAUGGAGCAAGAUGAGAGCUUUUAAUGGUGAUUUAAGAACAGAGAUUGAUGAGAGUGUUUAUGAGUGUAUAAGAGACUUAGAAACAGAGAUUAAGAGACUGAGAGACUGAGAGAUUAAAACUAGAGAAUAGAUUUGUGUUUCUGGUUUUCAAAACCCUUUCAUUGAUGAAGGAGGAGGGGAAAUCCCCCUCUCUCUCUUAGAGAGAUUCAAUUUCGUCCAUCAUGCUUAUUUAUAAGCUUACACAGGUUUACACAAUCAGAAACCUAUAUCUAAUGGCUGAUAAUAACUUAAGAGGAAUGGAUGGUGUAGAUGAGCUGGUCUUGUUGCAAUCUGAGUAGUUGAUGCUGAUUGGUUAAGAGGAGAUGGAGCCUGAUUGGUUUAAUUCAAAAUGGGGAAGGCUGGACUGUGAUUGGCUCUCCUUAGGCUCCUCCUAAUCUGUCCACAGAUCAGUCCAGGUUCAUGGUCGUGGCUCCCCUUGUCUUUACAGCCAAGGCCAGCCUGUCCCAUGACCAAACUAGCCAAUCACACUCCAAUGGCAUCUUCUUGAUUCUCCUUUGAUGCCAUCUGAUCAGAACCUUAUCCACAAGACUGGGACCACUUUUAUAACUCUCAAACCUUGCCCAGACAUUGCACAAGCUUUCCUGGGACGUCAGGUUCGCCCUAUUUUUGUACCAACUCCAAAACUUCUCAAAUGGCCGAGUUAUGCAAAUCUGGGUCGCCCUGGUCCGUACAGAUCCGUACUGUCCGUACACGUCCGUACUGCCUCGCCCUAUCUUUGCACACUCGCUCAUUUGCUCCCAAAUACACUUCUAAGUCUCUCCUAGACUUGGCCCUAACUUUGCACAUCCAUCAGGACACUUCUGGACACCUUGCCCUAUCUUUUGCACAAGCCCCAACUCAACUCAACACCUUUAGUUUCUCCAUUUCUUCUCUUCAAGUUAA
RNAcentral lists this long non-coding RNA (4487 nucleotides) under Brassica napus (rape). RNAcentral describes it as "long non-coding RNA (BNAP_LNC002647)". The record is from RNAcentral. Lineage: Eukaryota; Viridiplantae; Streptophyta; Magnoliopsida; Brassicales; Brassicaceae.